CUAAAGUACAAGAAUAUUCUAUACUGAAUGAUUUACAAGAAAUAUUCUGGAAUGAAUUUUUUCUGAAAAGAAAAGGAAAACAAGCAAGGUUAUCAGAAAGAAUCAAAAUCCAAGACAACUGCCUUCCACCCUCUGGAAUAGAAGGCAACUAUUCAUUGAAAUUGUAAUACGAGAUGAAACCCCUUUGCUGUCUCUGACUUAAGGUGCUGCCUGUGCAGAGAAUUAUUGACUCCAAUGGCAAAAUAAGAGCCAUGUCACAUUGCAGUAUUACUGAGACAAUAUGAAGAUAAUGCAUGGAAAAUUCCUUUUAAACUAUAGUUACUGUGAGAGGUAAUGAGUGGAGUUCAUUUACCUUUCUAAGACUUUUCUCUUUGGUGAUAACAGCAACAACAUUGUUGGGAGGA
This is a non-coding RNA of Oryctolagus cuniculus (rabbit), 404 nucleotides long. Lineage: Eukaryota; Metazoa; Chordata; Mammalia; Lagomorpha; Leporidae. The record is from RefSeq and is a predicted model, not a curated record.